Small nucleolar RNA from Mercurialis annua (annual mercury), 140 nucleotides. RefSeq annotates it as small nucleolar RNA snoR137. The record is from RefSeq and is a predicted model, not a curated record. The transcript has a single exon. NCBI's taxonomy places the organism in Eukaryota, Viridiplantae, Streptophyta, Magnoliopsida, Malpighiales, Euphorbiaceae.
UUUGUUUCUUACUGGUGAACUCUUUCAUUAAAAAUCAGUGGAUGAUGUUCAUGUUUCUGAAGCUAAAAUUAAUUUGCUAGCAUUAAACAACACAGUCAAUGUCUUUAUUUUCGCCGUGUCACCUGUCUCCUGGUACAUUU